UACGAAGGGGGCUAGCGUUGCUCGGAAUCACUGGGCGUAAAGGGCGCGUAGGCGGCCAUUCAAGUCGGGGGGUGAAAGCCUGUGGCUCAACCACAGAAUUGCCUUCGAUACUGUUUGGCUUGAGUAUGGCAGAGGUCAGUGGAACUGCGAGUGUAGAAGUGAAAUUCGUAGAUAUUCGCAAGAACACCAGUGGCGAAGGCGGCUGACUGGGCCAUUACUGACGCUGAGGCGCGAAAGCGUGGGGAGCAAACAGG
RNAcentral lists this ribosomal RNA (254 nucleotides) under uncultured bacterium. RNAcentral describes it as "partial 16S ribosomal RNA". It matches the Rfam family "Bacterial small subunit ribosomal RNA", at positions 524 to 776 of the family's 1533-position model. The record is from RNAcentral.